This 551-nucleotide ribosomal RNA is filed under the name uncultured bacterium. Its description in RNAcentral is "bacterial SSU rRNA". It matches the Rfam family "Bacterial small subunit ribosomal RNA", at positions 355 to 896 of the family's 1533-position model. The record is from RNAcentral.
UAGGGAAUCUUUCGGCAAUGGGGGCAACCCUGACAGAGCAACGCCGCGUGAGUGAAGAAGGUUUUCGGAUCGUAAAGCUCUGUUGUAAGAGAAGAACGAGUGUGAGAGUGGAAAGUUCACACUGUGACGGUAACUUACCAGAAAGGGACGGCUAACUACGUGCCAGCAGCCGCGGUAAUACGUAGGUCCCGAGCGUUAUCCGGAUUUAUUGGGCGUAAAGCGAGCGCAGGCGGUUAGAUAAGUCUGAAGUUAAAGGCUGUGGCUUAACCAUAGUACGCUUUGGAAACUGUUUAACUUGAGUGCAGAAGGGGAGAGUGGAAUUCCAUGUGUAGCGGUGAAAUGCGUAGAUAUAUGGAGGAACACCGGUGGCGAAAGCGGCUCUCUGGUCUGUAACUGACGCUGAGGCUCGAAAGCGUGGGGAGCAAACAGGAUUAGAUACCCUGGUAGUCCACGCCGUAAACGAUGAGUGCUAGGUGUUGGGUCCUUUCCGGGACUCAGUGCCGCAGCUAACGCAUUAAGCACUCCGCCUGGGGAGUACGACCGCAAGGUUG